UGGCGGACGGGUGAGUAAUGUCUGGGAAACUGCCCGAUGGAGGGGGAUAACUACUGGAAACGGUAGCUAAUACCGCAUAACGUCGCAAGACCAAAGAGGGGGACCUUCGGGCCUCUUGCCAUCGGAUGUGCCCAGAUGGGAUUAGCUAGUAGGUGGGGUAACGGCUCACCUAGGCGACGAUCCCUAGCUGGUCUGAGAGGAUGACCAGCCACACUGGAACUGAGACACGGUCCAGACUCCUACGGGAGGCAGCAGUGGGGAAUAUUGCACAAUGGGCGCAAGCCUGAUGCAGCCAUGCCGCGUGUAUGAAGAAGGCCUUCGGGUUGUAAAGUACUUUCAGCGAGGAGGAAGGCGUUGCGGUUAAUAACCGCACCGAUUGACGUUACUCGCAGAAGAAGCACCGGCUAACUCCGUGCCAGCAGCCGCGGUAAUACGGAGGGUGCAAGCGUUAAUCGGAAUUACUGGGCGUAAAGCGCACGCAGGCGGUCUGUCAAGUCGGAUGUGAAAUCCCCGGGCUCAAC
Molecule: ribosomal RNA, 521 nt
Filed under: uncultured bacterium
Lineage: Bacteria
Description: bacterial SSU rRNA
Rfam family: Bacterial small subunit ribosomal RNA
Source: RNAcentral